GAUGAACGCUGGCGGCGUGCCUAAUACAUGCAAGUCGAGCGAAGGGACGAGAAGCUUGCUUUUCGGAUGGUAGCUACGGAGGGUUGAGUAACACCUGGAUAACCUCCCUAUAGGAAUGUGAUUACUUCGUGAAACCAGAGCCGAUACCCUGUAAUAAUUUGAACAUAAUAGCUCAAUAACAAAAGACAGACUGGCCAUCACUCAUAUGUUCAUACGCGCUGCAUUAGCUAAUUUGUAAGGUCAUGGCUUACCAAUGCAACGAUGCAUAGACGACCUGAGAGCGUGAUCGGCCACACUGGAACUGAGACACGGUCGAGACUCCUAAGCGAGGCAGCAGUCGGGAAUCUUACGCAAUGGGCGAAAGCCUGACAGAGCAACGCCGCGUGAGUGAUGAAGGUCUUCGGAUCGUAAAACUCUGUUAUUAGGGAAGAACAUAUGUGUAAGUAAACGGGAACAUAUUGACGGUACCUAAUGAGAAAGCCACGGCUAACUACGUG
Molecule: ribosomal RNA, 497 nt
Filed under: uncultured bacterium
Lineage: Bacteria
Description: partial 16S ribosomal RNA
Rfam family: Bacterial small subunit ribosomal RNA
Source: RNAcentral